This 97-nucleotide non-coding RNA is filed under the name Hymenobacter sedentarius. RNAcentral describes it as "TPP sequence". It matches the Rfam family "TPP riboswitch aptamer (THI element)". From Rfam's summary of the family: Vitamin B(1) in its active form thiamin pyrophosphate (TPP) is an essential coenzyme that is synthesised by coupling of pyrimidine and thiazole moieties in bacteria. The previously detected thiamin-regulatory element, thi box was extended, resulting in a new, highly conserved RNA secondary structure, the THI element, which is widely distributed in eubacteria and also occurs in some archaea. Analysis of operon structures identified a large number of new candidate thiamin-regulated genes, mostly transporters, in various prokaryotic organisms. Lineage: Bacteria; Pseudomonadati; Bacteroidota; Cytophagia; Cytophagales; Hymenobacteraceae. The record is from Rfam by way of RNAcentral.
UAUAAACUUUAGGGGUGUCCGGGCUGGCCGGACUGAGAUAAUACCCUUUGAACCUGCUCCGGCUGAUACCGGCGAAGGGAAAAGUAUCGGUGCGCAG